Molecule: ribosomal RNA, 497 nt
Filed under: uncultured bacterium
Lineage: Bacteria
Description: partial 16S ribosomal RNA
Rfam family: Bacterial small subunit ribosomal RNA
Source: RNAcentral
GAUGAACGCUGGCGGCGUGCCUAAUACAUGCAAGUCGAGCGAACGGACGAGAAGCUUGCUUCUCUGAUGUUAGCGGCGGGCGGGUGAGUAACACGUGGAUAACCUACCUAUAAGACUGGGAUAACUUCGGGAAACCGGAGCUAAUACCGGAUGAUAUUUUGAACCGCAUGGUUCAAAAGUGAAAGACGGUCUUGCUGUCACUUAUAGAUGGAUCCGCGCUGCAUUAGCUAGUUGGUAAGGUAACGGCUUACCAAGGCAACGAUGCAUAGCCGACCUGAGAGGGGGAUCGGCCACACUAGAACUGAGACACGGUCCAGACUCCUACGGGAGGCAGCAGUAGGGAAUCUUACGCAAUGGGCGAAAGCCUGACGGAGCAACGCCGCGUGAGUGAUGAAGGUCUUCGGAUCGUAAAACUCUGUUAUUAGGGAAGAACAUAUGUGUAAGUAACUGUGCACAUCUUGACGGUACCUAAUCAGAAAGCCACGGCUAACUACGUG